Molecule: ribosomal RNA, 509 nt
Filed under: Aureobasidium melanogenum
Lineage: Eukaryota; Fungi; Ascomycota; Dothideomycetes; Dothideales; Saccotheciaceae
Description: partial large subunit ribosomal RNA
Rfam family: Eukaryotic large subunit ribosomal RNA
Source: RNAcentral
GCGGAGGAAAAGAAACCAACAGGGAUUGCCCUAGUAACGGCGAGUGAAGCGGCAACAGCUCAAAUUUGAAAGCUGGCCUUCGGGUCCGCAUUGUAAUUUGUAGAGGAUGCUUUGGGUGAAACGCCAGUCUAAGUUCCUUGGAACAGGACGUCAUAGAGGGUGAGAAUCCCGUAUGUGACUGGAAAUGUUAACCUAUGUAAAGCUCCUUCGACGAGUCGAGUUGUUUGGGAAUGCAGCUCUAAAUGGGAGGUAAAUUUCUUCUAAAGCUAAAUAUUGGCGAGAGACCGAUAGCGCACAAGUAGAGUGAUCGAAAGAUGAAAAGCACUUUGGAAAGAGAGUUAAAAAGCACGUGAAAUUGUUGAAAGGGAAGCGCUUGCAAUCAGACUUGUUUAAACUGUUCGGCCGGUCUUCUGACCGGUUUACUCAGUUUGGACAGGCCAGCAUCAGUUUCGGCGGCCGGAUAAAGGCUCUGGGAAUGUGGCCUUCACUUCGGUGAAGGUGUUAUAGCC